CCUACGGGAGGCAGCAGUGGGGAAUUUUGGACAAUGGGCGAAAGCCUGAUCCAGCAAUGCCGCGUGAGUGAAGAAGGCCUUCGGGUUGUAAAGCUCUUUUGUCAGGGAAGAAACGGUGAGGGCUAAUAUCCCUUGCUAAUGACGGUACCUGAAGAAUAAGCACCGGCUAACUACGUGCCAGCAGCCGCGGUAAUACGUAGGGUGCAAGCGUUAAUCGGAAUUACUGGGCGUAAAGCGUGCGCAGGCGGUUUUGUAAGUCUGUCGUGAAAUCCCCGGGCUCAACCUGGGAAUUGCGAUGGAGACUGCAAGGCUAGAAUCUGGCAGAGGGGGGUAGAAUUCCACGUGUAGCAGUGAAAUGCGUAGAGAUGUGGAGGAACACCGGAUGGCGAAGGCAGCCCCCUGGGUCAAGAUUGACGCUCAUGCACGAAAGCGUGGGGAGCAAACAGGAUUAGAUACCCUGGUAGUCCACGCCCUAAACGAUGUCUACUAGUUGUCGGGUUUUAAUUAACUUGGUAACGCAGCUAACGCGUGAAGUAGACCGCCUGGGGAGUCGGUCGCAAGNUUAAAACCUGAAGAUGACGNNGAGAGNGCGAGACGACGACGAGGGAGGAG
This 612-nucleotide ribosomal RNA is filed under the name uncultured bacterium. RNAcentral's name for it is "bacterial SSU rRNA". It matches the Rfam family "Bacterial small subunit ribosomal RNA", at positions 338 to 943 of the family's 1533-position model. The record is from RNAcentral.